UGUUGGGUGAACGUGCGGAAGGAUCAUUU
RNAcentral lists this ribosomal RNA (29 nucleotides) under Ziziphus mauritiana (Indian jujube). Its description in RNAcentral is "partial 18S ribosomal RNA". The record is from RNAcentral. Lineage: Eukaryota; Viridiplantae; Streptophyta; Magnoliopsida; Rosales; Rhamnaceae.